Molecule: ribosomal RNA, 253 nt
Filed under: uncultured bacterium
Lineage: Bacteria
Description: partial 16S ribosomal RNA
Rfam family: Bacterial small subunit ribosomal RNA
Source: RNAcentral
ACGUAGGGGGCGAGCGUUGUCCGGAAUUAUUGGGCGUAAAGAGCUCGUAGGCGGUCUGGUAAGUCGAAUGUGAAAACUCAGGGCUUAACCCUGAGAGGCCAUCCGAUACUGCCAUGACUUGAGUCCGGUAGAGGAGUGUGGAAUUUCUGGUGUAGCGGUGAAAUGCGCAGAUAUCAGAAGGAACACCAACGGCGAAGGCAGCACUCUGGGCCGGUACUGACGCUGAGGAGCGAAAGCGUGGGGAGCAAACAGG